AAUAAUGAUAAAUGUGUUUUUUAAGAACGAAAUUUCUACAUACUUUCAUUCUUGGUACUGUUAUAACUAGUUGUCCAGCAUACAAAAAUGAUAGGGAGAUAUUUUUCAAGGAGAUAAACUGUAUUUGUCCUAAUUUUAUACAUCUUUCAAAUAGGCAAAAUUUGUUUGGUUAUUUACUAAUGAAAAUUUGUCUGUACUUAAAUAUUUAGGGAGC
RNAcentral lists this long non-coding RNA (214 nucleotides) under Mytilus galloprovincialis (Mediterranean mussel). The record is from RNAcentral. Lineage: Eukaryota; Metazoa; Mollusca; Bivalvia; Mytilida; Mytilidae.